Molecule: ribosomal RNA, 279 nt
Filed under: uncultured bacterium
Lineage: Bacteria
Description: partial 16S ribosomal RNA
Rfam family: Bacterial small subunit ribosomal RNA
Source: RNAcentral
UGCCAGCAGCCGCGGUAAUACGAGGGGGGCUAGCGUUAUUCGGAAUAACUGGGCGUAAAGCGUGUGAAGGUGGCUUGCUAAGUCGAUUGUUAAAUUCUAUGGCCUAACCAUGGAGCUGCAGUCGAUACUGGUAGGCUAGAGACUGGAAGAGAGGAGUGGAAUUCUCGGAGUAGCGGUAAAAUGCGUAGAUCUCGAGAGGAACACCAAUGGCGAAGGCAGCUCCUUGGUCCAAGUCUGACACUCAAACACGAAGGCGUGGGGAGCAAACAGGAUUAGAUA